Molecule: ribosomal RNA, 253 nt
Filed under: uncultured bacterium
Lineage: Bacteria
Description: partial 16S ribosomal RNA
Rfam family: Bacterial small subunit ribosomal RNA
Source: RNAcentral
UACGUAGGGUGCAAGCGUUGUCCGGAAUUAUUGGGCGUAAAGAGCUCGUAGGCGGCUUGUCGCGUCGACUGUGAAAACCCGCGGCUUAACUGUGGGCUUGCAGCCGAUACGGGCGGGCUGGAGUUCGGUAGGGGAGACUGGAAUUCCUGGUGUAGCGGUGAAAUGCGCAGAUAUCAGGAGGAACACCAAUAGCGAAGGCAGCUCGCUGGGACGGUAUUGACGCUAAGGCGCGAAAGCGUGGGGAGCAAACAGG